AACGAACGCUGGCGGCAUGCCUAACACAUGCAAGUCGAACGAGACCUUCGGGUCUAGUGGCGCACGGGUGCGUAACGCGUGGGAACCUGCCCUUAGGUUCGGAAUAACUCCCCGAAAGGGGUGCUAAUACCGGAUAAUGUCUUCGGACCAAAGAUUUAUCGCCUUUGGAUGGGCCGGCGUUGGAUUAGCUAGUUGGUAGGGUAAAAGCCUACCAAGGCGACGAUCCAUAGCUGGUCUGAGAGGAUGAUCAGCCACACUGGGACUGAGACACGGCCCAGACUCCUACGGGAGGCAGCAGUGGGGAAUAUUGGACAAUGGGCGAAAGCCUGAUCCAGCAAUGCCGCGUGAGUGAUGAAGUCCUUAGGGUUGUAAAGCUCUUUUACCCGGGAUGAUAAUGACAGUACCGGGAGAAUAAGCUCCGGCUAACUCCGUG
This 433-nucleotide ribosomal RNA is filed under the name uncultured bacterium. RNAcentral's name for it is "partial 16S ribosomal RNA". It matches the Rfam family "Bacterial small subunit ribosomal RNA", at positions 29 to 507 of the family's 1533-position model. The record is from RNAcentral.